UACGUAGGUGGCAAGCGUUGUCCGGAUUUAUUGGGUUUAAAGGGUGCGUAGGCGGUCUUUUAAGUCAGUGCCGAAAUAUCCCGGCUUAACCGGGAGGGUGGCAUUGAUACUGAAGGACUUGAGUAAAGUUGAGGUAGGCGGAAUUGACGGUGUAGCGGUGAAAUGCUUAGAUAUCGUCAAGAACACCGAUAGUGUAGACAGCUUACUAAGCUUUAACUGACGCUGAGGCACGAAAGUGUGGGGAUCAAACAGG
Molecule: ribosomal RNA, 253 nt
Filed under: uncultured bacterium
Lineage: Bacteria
Description: partial 16S ribosomal RNA
Rfam family: Bacterial small subunit ribosomal RNA
Source: RNAcentral